Molecule: transfer RNA, 66 nt
Filed under: Arion vulgaris
Lineage: Eukaryota; Metazoa; Mollusca; Gastropoda; Stylommatophora; Arionidae
Description: tRNA-Pro
Source: RNAcentral
UCAAAUGCAGUUAAGACUUUAACAUUAACUUUGGGAGUUAAAGAAUAACGUAUAGUUACUUUUGAA